RNAcentral lists this small nuclear RNA (138 nucleotides) under Podospora anserina S mat+. It matches the Rfam family "U1 spliceosomal RNA". Rfam says of the family: U1 is a small nuclear RNA (snRNA) component of the spliceosome (involved in pre-mRNA splicing). The record is from RNAcentral. Lineage: Eukaryota; Fungi; Ascomycota; Sordariomycetes; Sordariales; Podosporaceae.
AUACUUACCUUGGCCAACCUCCGGGAGAUCACGAAUUCCUAGGGGUAGGGUGACUAACCUUCAUUGCACAUCGAGGAGUUUGGUUGUCUUUAAUUGCCCUUCGGGGUCGUUAUGGCCGCAAUUUUUGAUGUUUACCUC